ACUCCUACGGGAGGCAGCAGUGGGGAAUCUUGGACAAUGGGCGCAAGCCUGAUCCAGCCAUGCCGCGUGAGUGAUGAAGGCCCUAGGGUCGUAAAGCUCUUUCGCCAGGGAUGAUAAUGACAGUACCUGGUAAAGAAACCCCGGCUAACUCCGUGCCAGCAGCCGCGGUAAUACGGAGGGGUUAGCGUUGUUCGGAAUUACUGGGCGUAAAGCGCGCGUAGGCGGACUGGAAAGUUGGGGGUGAAAUCCCGGGGCUCAACCCCGGAACUGCCUCCAAAACUCCCAGUCUUGAGUUCGAGAGAGGUGAGUGGAAUUCCGAGUGUAGAGGUGAAAUUCGUAGAUAUUCGGAGGAACACCAGUGGCGAAGGCGGCUCACUGGCUCGAUACUGACGCUGAGGUGCGAAAGUGUGGGGAGCAAACAGGAUUAGAUACCCUGGUAGGAUAGCG
This 447-nucleotide ribosomal RNA is filed under the name uncultured bacterium. RNAcentral's name for it is "bacterial SSU rRNA". It matches the Rfam family "Bacterial small subunit ribosomal RNA", at positions 335 to 799 of the family's 1533-position model. The record is from RNAcentral.